RNAcentral lists this long non-coding RNA (504 nucleotides) under Vulpes vulpes (red fox). Its description in RNAcentral is "lncRNA (ENSVVUG00000027412.1)". The record is from RNAcentral. Lineage: Eukaryota; Metazoa; Chordata; Mammalia; Carnivora; Canidae.
CUUUUAUAACCAUAUGGCAGAAGAGAUGUGCAGAGAAGGACUCCUAGAAGAGGAAACUUCCAACUCCCAGUGCUCCUCAGCGUGUGAAAACCAGAGGACCAAAGGACCAAUGUUCUUUUUCGUCAACUAUUUGUGGUUUGGCACUGGGAGUCCUUGCAGUCGUGCCUCAGAGUCCUCCAUGGUCUGGCUUCCUCAUGCUCACAUUCAGCUCUGAAUUCUUCAAAGGAAUCUCUGCAGAAAAGGAACACCAAACAGCUCAUGUCAUAAGUUGAAAUUCCUAUUGACAUCUGACAACUCUGUAAGCUGGAAAGAACAUAGUUGUUAUGUCAGAAAGGUCUUCCAGUCUCUUUCAUGUGAGCCUUGGCAAGUUAGGUGACGUCUCUGAGCCUUGUUCCUUCAUCUCUUGAGUGGGGAUAAUGAUAUCUACCUGCCAAGACCAUUAUAAGGAUUAAAGGGAUAAUUCAUAUUAAAAUCUUGGCACAUACUAAGCACUUCAUAAAAAAU